RNA transcript from Nycticebus coucang (slow loris), 953 nucleotides. It is a transcript of the gene named protein PET100 homolog, mitochondrial, with no coding region annotated. The transcript has 3 exons. The record is from RefSeq and is a predicted model, not a curated record. Lineage: Eukaryota; Metazoa; Chordata; Mammalia; Primates; Lorisidae.
AAGUGGCUUUGUAGACCUGGAGAAGCAAGAUGGGUGUGAAACUAGAGGUGUUUCGGGUCAGUGAACACAGAAAUGCGUGCAUUGGGAGGCUGAACAGGGUAUCUUCGUGGAUCUGAGGAAGAGACUGUGAAUAGGGGGGAACUCUAAAGAGAGGGGCGUUCCUGGAAGAGAGCUUUUGAUAUUUGAGAGGGACCUUUACAGUUGGAAACCCGGAGAAGAGGUUUUCCGGUGGGAGGUCUCGGAGUGAGGUUUCAGGGUUUGGGUGCUCAGAGAAGCCUGGACUGAAGAAGGGCCCCUGAGAAGGUGAGCCGACGAGGAGCUCUAAGAAGAAAGGCUUCCGAUCCUGGGGAAGCUCUCCAGUGCAUAGUAUGGCACUGUACCUCACUUUCCCUGUGACUAUGUUCUGGAUUUCCAAUCAGGCUGAGUGGUUUGAGGACUACAUCAUACUGCGCAAGAGGGAGCUGUGGCCACCUGAGAAGGAGGGCCAGGUAAGUGAUAUACUUUUCUUCCCACUAGUGGAAUGGAGGAAGCUGGAUUCCUGUGGUUGCAGGGAAUUUCAAAUGAAACUUUUACCCGUAGCCAUGAAUAGGGAACUGAGAGCAGAGGAGCAUCUGGUUUCCUUACUGCCUUCUCCCUGAAGAAUGAAGCUGAUCCUGGUUGUAAUUAGCAUAGGGUUUCAAGUGUAGACACAACUCAGAAGCUGUGUUCUUGGGAGUAAAGGCCAGGGUGAUGGGAGAGGGGUCCAGUCCCUGAGGUGUGUACCCCCUCCUUCCUUCCUUUCCCACCUGCUUCCUCGCUACCAGCACCAAGAGAUAGAAGAAUUCAAAGAAAGGAUACGGAAGCAGCAGAAGGAGAAGCUCCUUCACGCUGCCCAGCAGAACUCCUGAGCCCUCCAAGUGCUUGAGACCUAGCUCCCUCCCCAUGAAAUAACACAUACUCAUAAUUUCUUUUUA